GAUCCUGGCUCAGGACGAACGCUGGCGGCGUGCCUAAUACAUGCAAGUAGAACGCUGAAGGAGGAGCUUGCUUCUCCGGAUGAGUUGCGAACGGGUGAGUAACGCGUAGGUAACCUGCCUGGUAGCGGGGGAUAACUAUUGGAAACGAUAGCUAAUACCGCAUAAUAGCAGUUGUUGCAUGACAACUGUUUAAAAGGUGCAAUUGCAUCACUACCAGAUGGACCUGCGUUGUA
Molecule: ribosomal RNA, 233 nt
Filed under: uncultured bacterium
Lineage: Bacteria
Description: partial 16S ribosomal RNA
Rfam family: Bacterial small subunit ribosomal RNA
Source: RNAcentral